CGCACAUGUCUGAUGGAGGAGUCGCCCUCAGAAAGUAGAUGACCCGCUCCAGCUGAUGAGAGGGGCAGAGAGGACCCAGCUGAGAAGUGGAGGGAAUCUCUGAACAGCGCUUGAGGAACGAACAUAUGAUAAGUUCUCAGCCUCUGCUAGUCAGGAGAAUGCAAAUUAAAGCCAACACAAGAUACUAGAGGCCCCCAGACUAGCACAGCGUCAGGAGGGUGCGGCACUGUGGGCUCUGGGCCAGGGCGACCCUGCCUCUUCCUCAGUCUGGAGGAACCUGCCCUGACCCAGGAGGACCACAUCGGGCUCGCUGCGGAGCCUGUAUCCCAGCGGAAAGGAGACGUGGUCACAUGACAGACCGGGAGGAGCGCACGCUGCGAGCGUGCCCAGGGCUUGCUGUCUACGUGAAGCUCAACGCAUUAAUCGAUCAGCUGCCUGCGCCGUCAGGUCUGUUCCUGGAAAAAGGAAAAACUGUCCCGAGUCCUGCGGCCCGUCCUCCUGGCAGCGCACCCCUUCCUGCACCAGCAGUCUCUCCCGAGUGACCCACUCCCUGCAGCUUGCAAACCCCAAGACGCCAGCCUCUACAGCACCAGAGCCCCGCAUGCCGCCCCUCCCCAGCCACGGCUGCACGUCUCUGCGCCCCUCGGCACUCACGGAGCGGCAGUGCAGUCUUCCCUGGAGGUGCGCGCACCCACAAGGCACCUUCCUUGUGGUUCCUGGGGGCUGUUUCUUCCUCCAACGUGGCUCCUGCCCUGCCCAGCGCACCUGCAGUAUGUUGGCUCUGAACACGGCCUGACUUCCGUCGAGACCACUUCUGUCCUCGGCAGUCCACACAAGCAACUUGCCUUUUGAUUUCUCUCCCGACAGGGCACCUGG
RNAcentral lists this long non-coding RNA (876 nucleotides) under Heterocephalus glaber (naked mole-rat). RNAcentral describes it as "lncRNA (ENSHGLG00100029080.2)". Lineage: Eukaryota; Metazoa; Chordata; Mammalia; Rodentia; Bathyergidae. The record is from RNAcentral.